CCCCACCCCAGCAGUGCUGCCCCCCACCCCAGCAGUGCUGCCCCCCAGAUCAGCAGACCAAGCAGCCUUGCCAGCCUCCACCCAAAUGCCUGGAGAAGUGCCCGCCCCCUCAGCAGUGUUAGAAGUCCAAGUAGAAGUAAGACCUCGCUCGACCUGGCACCAGAACAGCUGCAGUUUCCUUCUCAGACAAGGAUCUGGCUCUAAAGCAUCUGCCCAUCUUCGCUGACACACAUCUGCAUCGCCCUGCUGGAAACUCGGGCACCACGCCCAGCACCUUUCCCAUCAUGCUACCCAACCAUUAAAGUAGAAUUCCUCUGG
Heterocephalus glaber (naked mole-rat) is the source of this 318-nucleotide non-coding RNA. NCBI's taxonomy places the organism in Eukaryota, Metazoa, Chordata, Mammalia, Rodentia, Bathyergidae. The record is from RefSeq and is a predicted model, not a curated record.